This is a non-coding RNA of Chryseobacterium sp. MOF25P, 89 nucleotides long. NCBI's taxonomy places the organism in Bacteria, Pseudomonadati, Bacteroidota, Flavobacteriia, Flavobacteriales, Weeksellaceae. The record is from Rfam.
UCUUAGCCCCGAUUGCAACGACAUCCUUUUUCUGAAAUGGCUUGAAAAAAGAGUUGGCGAAAAAGAUAUAGUGGAAAGCGGGAAAAGCU